This is a long non-coding RNA of Magnolia sinica, 677 nucleotides long. RefSeq lists it as uncharacterized. The record is from RefSeq and is a predicted model, not a curated record. NCBI's taxonomy places the organism in Eukaryota, Viridiplantae, Streptophyta, Magnoliopsida, Magnoliales, Magnoliaceae. The transcript is spliced from 3 exons.
CUUUCUUUUCUUUUUGGUACUAAGAGAAUAAAAUUGUGUUUUCAGGUUUGCUAGCGACACAUGUACGGCUGGGACUGUUAGGAGAAAAUAUUCAUUGGUGAUAGUUUGAAAAACCAACUUCUCUUUUGAUAGUUGGAAAUUAAUGUAUGCAUGGUUGUUCGUGAGGAUAUAUCCACUACAACACAACGAGUGCACUGUCAUUAUCUUUUAGCCACUUUCUAUACAGCACACCAUACUGAAUUUUGAAUUGCAAUUUGUGCUGCUAUGGUCUUUGUUUUUAGUAUGGUGUAGAAGGACAGACGAGCUUGUUGAUGGCUUGGUUUUCAUGUUCAUUUGGAUAGGUUUUGAAAGCCAUUGGAGUAGACCCCAUCAAGGGGUUUAUAGAUUUUCAGGUGGUGGAAAAUGCAAAAAUCUAGGCAGAAACGGUGGCAGCCAUGAUACGAUUGGAUAUGAGUGAAUAUAUGGAGCGGCAAAGAAAGUAGUUGGCAAGAUUAAAGUGGAAGGUUAGUUUUCAAUGGUAUAAACCGAAUUUCAUGAUGUUUGGUGCAACCAACUGCACCCUAUGCUACACUUAUUUUCAUUGGUACAGAAAUUGUGAGUAAUAGUCUAUCUUAAAUCAGACGUUAAAAAGUCCUAAGCCAUCUUAGAACAUCUCAGGUUGUGUUUAUGUUUGUAUG